AUGGCCCAAGCUUGGGCCUUCCUCCUCCCGGUGCUCGUCUUCGGCUCCUACGUGACCAGCCUCUUCUUCCCCAGCUAUAUAUCCGGCCCCCUCUGCGGCGGCGAUGGGGGAGGCAGAUCCUUGUUCCUCUGCGCGCAGGCUCCCAAGGACCAGGACCCAUCUCCUGCUGUCAGCACCAUGUACAAGACCGCCUUCCACUUCCAGCCCGCCAAGAACUGGAUGAACGAUCCAUCUGGACCAAUGUACUUCAAUGGCUUCUACCAUGAAUUCUACCAGUACAACCUGAACGGCCCCAUUUUUGGUGACAUAGUUUGGGGCCAUUCGGUUUCAACAGACCUCGUCAACUGGAUCGGGCUUGAACCCGCGUUAGUGCGGGAUACCCCAAGUGACAUAGACGGUUGCUGGACCGGCUCGGUCACCAUUCUGCCAGGUGGUAAACCAGUCAUCAUAUACACUGGUGGCGACAAAGAUCAACAUCAGGCACAAAACAUCGCGUUCCCCAAAAACCGGUCUGACCCAUACCUGAGGGAAUGGAUCAAAGCAGCCAAUAACCCGGUGCUCCGACCGGACGAACCAGGGAUGAACUCGAUCGAGUUCAGGGAUCCGACAACCGGUUGGAUCGGACCGGACGGACUGUGGAGGAUGGCAGUUGGUGGUGAGCUGAACGGCUACAGUGCUGCACUUUUGUACAAGAGUGAAGACUUUCUGAACUGGACAAAAGUUGAUCACCCACUGUAUUCACAUAAUGGAUCCAAUAUGUGGGAGUGUCCGGAUUUCUUUGCGGUAUUGCCGGGCAAUAAUGCUGGACUGGAUCUGUCCGCAGCGAUUCCACAAGGCGCCAAGCAUGCCCUCAAAAUGAGCGUGGAUUCAGUUGACAAGUACAUGAUCGGGGUGUAUGAUCUCCAACGUGAUGCCUUUGUGCCAGAUAAUGUCGUAGAUGACCGUCGGCUGUGGCUGAGAAUAGAUUAUGGCACUUUCUAUGCUUCAAAAUCAUUCUUUGACUCGAACAAGAACAGGAGGAUCAUAUGGGGUUGGUCUAGGGAGACAGAUAGUCCUUCAGAUGACCUUGAAAAAGGUUGGGCAGGACUCCAUACAAUCCCCAGGACCAUUUGGUUAGCCGACAAUGGCAAGCAGUUGUUACAAUGGCCAGUUGAGGAGAUUGAGUCCCUUCGAACAAAUGAAAUCAGCCAUCAAGGAAUAGAGCUCAACAAGGGAGAUCUAUUUGAGAUCAAGGAAGUUGACGCUUUUCAGGCUGAUGUAGAGAUAGGUUUCGAGCUGGCGUCCAUCGAUGACGCCGAUCCUUUUGAUCCUUCCUGGCUUUUGGACCCCGAGAAGCAUUGUGGGGAAGCGGGUGCAUCAGUUCCUGGUGGUAUAGGUCCAUUUGGACUUGUCAUUCUGGCCUCCGACAACAUGGACGAGCACACUGAGGUGUAUUUCAGAGUCUACAAGUCACAGGAAAAGUACAUGGUACUCAUGUGCUCUGAUCUAAGAAGGUCUUCCCUGAGACCAGAUCUGGAGAAACCAGCCUAUGGAGGCUUCUUUGAAUUUGAUCUUGAAAAGGAAAGGAAGAUAUCACUCAGAACUCUGAUUGACCGGUCGGCGGUGGAGAGCUUCGGCGGCGGUGGCAGGGUUUGCAUCACAUCCAGAGUUUAUCCGGCGGUGCUCGCCGACGUCGGCAGGGCCCACAUUUACGCUUUCAACAAUGGAAGUGCCACGGUCAGGGUGCCACAGCUCAGCGCAUGGACCAUGAGGAAGGCACAAGUGAAUGUGGAGAAGGGCUGGAGUGCUAUUUAA
Molecule: ribosomal RNA, 1794 nt
Filed under: Triticum aestivum (bread wheat)
Lineage: Eukaryota; Viridiplantae; Streptophyta; Magnoliopsida; Poales; Poaceae
Description: partial small subunit ribosomal RNA
Source: RNAcentral